This 178-nucleotide microRNA precursor is filed under the name Trypanosoma vivax Y486. The record is from RNAcentral. Lineage: Eukaryota; Euglenozoa; Kinetoplastea; Trypanosomatida; Trypanosomatidae.
UACUGGCAGAGGCUCCACCUUUUUUCCUCUCUCUCUCUCUCUCCCUCUCCUUCCCCUAUUGCUUUCAUGAUAAUACUUCUUUGCUCGGGAAGUUGCACUUAUAGAGGCAGACACACACACACACACAGAGAGAGAGAGAGAGAGAGAGACGGAGAGACGGAAGUAAAAGCCGGAACAU